AUAAAUCCCUGUGUUUAAUCUGCAAUCCCCCAAAAUACAUUGAUAAUGUGUUUCCUAUACUUACCAGAUAAAUAUGGUAUGGAUGUGAUUUCUGUAAGGCAGGGUCUUAAUCUAGACUGCUCUCGCACUUGCCUCAGUUGGGGUUGCAGGCUUAAGGCAAAUGCUUUAAUGCAUUUUGUCCUACACAGAUGCAUUUCCUGGUUGGAAAGCCUUAUUUCCAGGUCAGGUCCUGAGCCUUCCACUCUUAAAGCUUGACAUUGGAAAAUCCCAUCAUAUAUCUGCACCAGGCUGGUCACCUAGACCUUUAAAAACUCUUAGCAAUUUUUCCUGCUUUGAAGGCUUUAUUCUUACCAUCCCUGGUGGAGGCCACACCACUGAAGCCCAAAUAAGAGUCCCUGCUCAUAGCCUAACCCUCCUUAAGGCCAAAUGUCUGCCUCAUCAGAGGAUGGUCUUCCUAACUUUGUAUCCCCAAGCUAUUAAAAUGUACUUUAUGAAUACAAUCUUCCAAAUCGUUUUUGUGAUGAA
RNAcentral lists this long non-coding RNA (525 nucleotides) under Rattus norvegicus (Norway rat). RNAcentral describes it as "long non-coding RNA NONRATT013321". Lineage: Eukaryota; Metazoa; Chordata; Mammalia; Rodentia; Muridae. The record is from RNAcentral.